Molecule: RNA transcript, 5180 nt
Organism: Scophthalmus maximus (turbot)
Lineage: Eukaryota; Metazoa; Chordata; Actinopteri; Pleuronectiformes; Scophthalmidae
Gene: fndc5b
Gene name: fibronectin type III domain containing 5b
Exons: 6
Source: RefSeq, a predicted model, not a curated record
UGCACGUUGCACUCUGCAGCACUCGCGCGCUCCUUUUACGCUCCGCGCACCUCUGCGCGUAUUGUGAAAGCCUCCGCGCGCCGCCGCUCCGUCACCAGCAGCCGGACUGAAAGUGGGUCGGAGGGCUGUCCCCGCGGCUCCACUGGCGUCGAGAGACCCCCGCCCCCCUCCACACACACACACACACACACACACACACACACUCUCUCUCUCCCGUGGCCGUUGUUGCGCUUCUGCUGCAGCCUCCAAGUUCAGGUGAGCCCGGUGUCCGGCACAACAAGUCCACCUUUUGCGGCACCGACGCGUGGUGUGUGUGUGUGGGGGGGGGAUGCUCGCUGCCUCCGGCUAAAUGGGAUGCUGUAGAUGGGCCGCGCGGGAUGUGAAGCCUCGCUAGAAGAAGCAGCAGGAUGGCGAAACCAGGCUCGUCCUCGGCGGCGGCGGCGGCGGCGGCGCUGCUCCUGCUGGCCGUCCUCUCGGCGUCCUCCGUUCGUGCCGACACCCUGCUGUCAGCGCCGCUCAAUGUGACCAUCAGAGAGCUCGAGGUCAACUCCGCCGUGGUCACGUGGGAAAUCUCGGAGGGGGACCCCGUCAUCGGAUUCGCCAUCACCCAGCAGAAGAAGGACGUACGCAUGUUGAGGUUCAUCCAGGAGGUGAACACCACCACGCGCUCCUGUGCACUGUGGGAUCUGGACGAAGACACCGAGUACAUCGUCCACGUCCAGAGCAUUAGCAUGGGAGGCAGCAGCCCCCCCAGUCAGCCCGUUCUCUUCAGGACGCCGAAGGAGUCGGAGAAGAUGGCAUCCAAGAGUCCAGACGAGGUCACGAUGGAGGAGUUCGGUCAGGCUGCCCAGCUGAGGGCUGGAGAACUCAUCAUCAUCGUAGUGGUGCUCAUCAUGUGGGCAGGCGUCAUCGUCCUGUUUUGUCGUCAGUAUGACAUCAUCAAAGACAAUGAGCCCAACAACAACAAGGACAAAGCCAAGAACUCCUCAGAGUGCAGUACUCCCGAGCACCCACAGGGGGGGCUACUGCGCAGCAACGUCUAAAACCAGCCCUGCAUCGCCUUCUGCAAUAACCAACUCCUUGUACCUCAGGUGACAGACCCUGAGACCAACAGAAAGCCAUUCUCAGACACCAUCGUACCGAAGAGCAGAUUCACCGUCUCCUUUCCUGACACAGUGAAGAACUCUUGAAAUACAGCGGAUCCCAAAUCUGAACGCGAAGACUCCCAGGGUGCAAACGGUCGAACAAGGAAACCGGAGGGGACAAAACAACUUUGACUCUCCUUUCGACGACUUUGUUCGGGCAGCCGACACAGACACAAGACAUGAAGAACUGCUCGAUUCAUACGUUCUGGUUCCUCUGCAUCAGUGGCAUCAAAUCCCAGGAGUGGAUCAUCCAUCACGAAUGUCUGUUGUUGUUGUUUUCUUCUUUCAACCUGAGGUCAGAGUCAGCGGGAAAUCUAGUCUGCCUCACAGGAAUAGCUGCUCCUUGAGCCCCAGGUAUACGUCAGCACACAUCAAAAGGUUUUAAAACCAACUGACUUUCUCUUUUUCUAUCCGUCCACCUGUCAUUACCUCCUUCCUGUCUUUACCACAGCCCUCGGUGUAGCAGCUCGUCUCUCCCCCCACCCCGUCUUUCUGUGUAAGUGUUUCUCUAUUAAGCACAUGGCCAUGUGGUGCUCCUCUUUCCUACUGUGAUUGUUUGAGCCCUCACAAUCUCGGUCUUCAUUAUGGUUUUCAUUCUGACAUUGUAAACCGAGUCUCAUCUCCUGCCUUCCUGGUUUUUUCAUCACCUAAAUGAUGUGUCCGCUUUUCUGUCUCCUCUCUGAACUGGGAACGUAAAGCCGUCGUCAGUGCGGGGAUACGAGACAUCUGUUUUGGAUUUUUCUUUUUGUAAAGUUAACCUAAUAUUUUGCUAAUUUGAGUCAAGUGAUGCUGUCUGAAUACAGCCAUGAUGCAAUUGUCAAGGACUGGCCCGGAUUUGUCAUCAAAGUGGUGUGUUUCUCGAAUCAAACAUUUUUACAGGCCUGAAAUCCGGAAGUUGAACUUUAUUUAAAAAAAAAUAUUAGCAAGACUGGAAAAUGACUGAUAUGGGUUCAUAUUGAGGGUUAUUGUUCAGCAAUGCAUAUUCAUCACCAUAUUCUGUCUGCGGUCUGCAGCAGUGUGUGCAGGGAAUAAUGAUGGAGAUAUAUGCAGAGCGUCAUUCUUAAUGAAAUGUAUGCAAAGUUUGGCUGGGGUUCCACUCUGGUUUGGCUGAAGACCAGCAGGGAUGCCAGGCCGUGCAGGCGAAUGGCUGUUCCAUGUGGCUGAACCCUGUUUUGAAAUGAAACCCAUAUCCACUUAUACGUCCCUCUAUCUGGCAUUAACAUGCGUCCCAAGUUCUCAGACCAUCAUGGGAUAGAGUGAAAAUGCAUUUCAAAUGUGAUCAUCCAAACUGCCAGCAUCUUCGCAAAGCUGCCCUGACAAGGAAAUCGGAAAGUCUAUACCGAGACUACACCAAAUUGUUGGUUAUUGGUCUUUUCAUAGGAUCUGUUGCCAAAAAGAAAAAUAUAGAAUUAUGGCUGCGUGAUUAUUAAAAAAAAUUAAUAAUCUAUUUUUUUUUCAUCAGUGAGUAAAAUCAGUAUCAUUUGCAUCCCUGGUUCUUAAGCGCACUCAAACUUCUUUAAAGGAGUAAUCAUUUAAUACAGAUAUAGAGUUCACUAAAAUGUCAGACAGAAAAACAGAGUUGCAGCCCUAUUCGAGAUAAUUAGUGAAUGUCUGAAUACCUCGCGGGUUGAGAUGACUGCUAAUCAGCGGGACAUAUACACACACACAUACAGACACAUUCUGGAUUGAAAUGCUGCCUUUUUCUAUUGACAUACGGCCCUGCGAUGAGAUAGACAUUGCUUUUCUCAUCUUUAACAUCAGCUCUGCGAGAACAGCGAUCCCCUCGCACCUUGCAUCCAUUUUCACCCUUCUCCUUGUCAGCCUCCUUCUCUCCUCCUCUCUCUCCAGCCACCUCCAUCCGCCUUCAUUCUCCCAUUUCUGACUUCCCCUUCACUUUCUAUCCCUCUGUCGCAAUACUGUCUUUCUCAUAUGACACGGCACCCCUUCCUCAUUUUCCUCCCGUUUACCAGGCUCGUCCUCUCUUCUCUUCCCCCACUUCCAGUUUCCCUCUCAACCGUUUGUCAUUAUCCGCUCUCCGCUCCCUCUGCGCAUAUUAGCUCUACUCUCUCUCACAUCCGGCCCCGGCCAUAGACCCCUUGCCUAUCCCUCAGUCCUCUGCUCAUUUAUCACCUUUUGGUCUCAGAAUGGCCAGGAUGGACGCCUGGUACACAAGUAGGUCCGAAAUAGAGGGAGGGAGGAGGAGAAUGAUAGAAACGACAAAACAGGAGAACCCAAAGGGAGUGGAAAAAAGGACUUUUGUCUUUUUGACUUUUGUCCAAGUGUAGUAAGGCGAAGGAGCAUAUAAUUAAUUUGCUUGUUUGCAUUAUUUUGAGGUAAUACCGGUUGUGUAAAACUAGCACAUCAUCUGUGUACGCUCGUAUUUUCCGCAUUACGUGGAAGGUGGUCCUAGAUGCUAUGAGGCUAAUGUUAGCGACUCUGCCUUGCUCUUGAUUGGUUUUUGGCAAAUUGACCCACCAGCAACACAGUGCCAAUGUUCCCUGAGCCCGCGUUACAAUUGCCAAACACAGUGGUGGGUUCUCAUCCUUAAAGCCUUUCCUUCUUUGACGUUAGCGUACUGUUCGAAAAUACAAACAGUUAUGGAGGCCAAAGCAGCAAAUUUGUUCAAAGAAGUGGGCCGCUGCAACAUUGGUCUUACAUUUUUUAAUACAGACCUCAUAGCUUUCACCUUAGCCUGUUAGCACGAUGGUAGCAUGUAAUCAUGCUACGGCGCAUAUUCAAGUCCAAUUUUACAGUAUUAUUGUUUUAAAAUGAGUCACCUGGAAACAUUAAAAAGUCAGCCAGAGACAGCAUUAAACAAAUCGUGGAGAGAACGUUACAUAGCUUAUUUAGCCACACCUACAAAUCCAAGGUCUAUUUUUCACCACCAUUUUCACCAUGAACUGCAUUUGUGUCAAAUGAGAAUGGGUGUAACUAAGGGGGGGGGGGGGGCUAGGUUAUCGCUCAGUUAGAAAUCAUUUUUUAAGUGAGUAAAAAUGAAGCCAAAGAAUGCAAUGUAUUCUGGACCUUUUUGUGCAACAACCGUAUUCAACAAGACGUAGCAAACAUGGCGACUCACACGGAGGUCGGGUCGCUCUCGUAACUAUAUUUAACUCAUUCAAAGUUGACGGAAAAAAAAAUAGUUUCUUUGUUGCAGGUGAUUAUACAUAUAUGAACACAUAGUUAUGGACAAUAUAUUGAAUUUCUGUGAAUAAGUUCCUCUAAAUAUUACACACUGUAGCUUUAAGCUUUCAUCCACGGGCGGCAAUGAAACAAAUUUUAAUGUAGGAUGAAGGUUGAAAAAAAUCUUAUUGUCAAUAAACUGGCCGCACGGGGGUAAAUAUCAUCCGAAUGCAAACUGAAUAAAAGUGGGUGAUGAAAGUGCAAAAUGUCCUUAAUACCGCUGAACCUCAAGUGGUAGUUUUUCUUACACCACGACGCCAGAGCACAUACACACUCGCUUAAAACACUCACUCACUCACGCACGCAAGCCCAUUCUCCGGCUGGCUGCCGACCAAACCGUCACACUGGGGGAAAGCGGCAGAAGGCAGGUCUGGCUCAGACAGCUCUGCCUCUGUGUAUCUGAGGCUGCAGGAGGCCGACUCAACAGCUGCUCAUGGUGAACAUCCAAUGAGGCGUGUGAGAAUAUGGAGCCGGAGACCAAGAGAAACCUGAAGACAGACAAACAGGCGCAGAAAGAGAGGAGGAGAGGGUGAAGGAAGAUGAGUCGGAGGGAGUAAAACCGGGACUGACGGGAGAGAGAAGAUCAUUACACCCCAAGCAUCCCCGUGUGGCAAAGCCUGAAAGAGAGUAAAUGCAAAUCUUAACCAGGAAAAUUAGAAAAAAACAAACUGUACAGGUUGUGAAAACAUAUAUUUGUCGCAGGAAAAACUUUUUUUUUAAAGAGGUGACACCCUUGGAUGUUUUUUGUCCCCCGUCCCCCCCCCCGUCCCCCCCCAACAAGUGCAUGGUCCUCUAUACAUGUUUGAAUGUUCGGGCAAUCAACCGAUUAAAGUGUAUGAUUUGAUGUAAUCUUAA